This 497-nucleotide ribosomal RNA is filed under the name uncultured bacterium. RNAcentral describes it as "partial 16S ribosomal RNA". It matches the Rfam family "Bacterial small subunit ribosomal RNA", at positions 28 to 507 of the family's 1533-position model. The record is from RNAcentral.
GAUGAACGCUGGCGGCGUGCCUAAUACAUGCAAGUCGAGCGAACAGACGAGGAGCUUGCUCCUCUGACGUUAGCGGCGGACGGGUGAGUAAAACGUGGAUAACCUACCUAUAAGACUGGGAUAACUUCGGGAAACCGGAGCUAAUACCGGAUAAUCUAUUGAACCGCAUGGUUCAAUAGUGAAAGACGGUUUUGCUGUCACUUAUAGAUGGAUCCGCGCCGCAUUAGCUAGUUGGUAAGGUAACGGCUUACCAAGGCAACGAUGCGUAGCCGACCUGAGAGGGUGAUCGGCCCCACUGGAACUGAGACACGGUCCAGACUCCUACGGGAGGCAGCAGUAGGGAAUCUUCCGCAAUGGGCGAAAGCCUGACGGAGCAACGCCGCGUGAGUGAUGAAGGUCUUCGGAUCGUAAAACUCUGUUAUUAGGGAAGAACAAAUGUGUAAGUAACUAUGCACGUCUUGACGGUACCUAAUCAGAAAGCCACGGCUAACUACGUG